ACGUGAUCUCAGCACGGUCCUAAAACCAUUACCCAAACCUAUGGGAUUCAUUAUAAUCUUAAAAUAAAUAAGAUGCAGCAUAUAAUGAAACAAAAAUAUCUUAUUUUAUUAAUCAUAAAUAUCAAUUACAUGAGUUUGGAAGAUAAAUUAUAAUAAAUAUUCUAUCGCAUCGCAUAUGCGAUUGGCUUGUAGGGCAUUAUUCUUUCAAUCUCCCACUUGCACUUAAAGCCAAUCACCUCUAUACUUGAUACCCAUGCUAUCAAGAUGGUGGUCAAACUACUGUAUUUAUAAGGCCUUAGUGAAUGGGUUUGCUAGGUUGUUCUUGGUGUCAACUCUCUCCA
Molecule: long non-coding RNA, 341 nt
Filed under: Elaeis guineensis (African oil palm)
Lineage: Eukaryota; Viridiplantae; Streptophyta; Magnoliopsida; Arecales; Arecaceae
Description: long non-coding RNA (EGUI_LNC035889)
Source: RNAcentral